This 253-nucleotide ribosomal RNA is filed under the name uncultured bacterium. Its description in RNAcentral is "partial 16S ribosomal RNA". It matches the Rfam family "Bacterial small subunit ribosomal RNA", at positions 524 to 776 of the family's 1533-position model. The record is from RNAcentral.
UACGGAGGGUGCGAGCGUUGUUCGGAAUCACUGGGCGUAAAGCGCGUGUAGGCGGCCUCCUCAGUCUGAUGUGAAAGCCCUGGGCUCACCCCAGGAAGUGCAUUGGAUACUGGGAGGCUGGAGUACCGGAGAGGAGGGUGGAAUUCCUGGUGUAGCGGUGAAAUGCGUAGAUAUCAGGAGGAACACCGGUGGCGAAGGCGUCCCUCUGGCCGGAUACUGACGCUGAGACGCGAAAGCGUGGGGAGCAAACAGG